Molecule: ribosomal RNA, 440 nt
Filed under: uncultured bacterium
Lineage: Bacteria
Description: partial 16S ribosomal RNA
Rfam family: Bacterial small subunit ribosomal RNA
Source: RNAcentral
CCUACGGGAGGCAGCAGUGGGGAAUAUUGGACAAUGGGGGGAACCCUGAUCCAGCGACGCCGCGUGAGUGAAGAAGUAUUUCGGUAUGUAAAGCUCUAUCAGCAGGGAAGAAAAUGACGGUACCUGACUAAGAAGCCCCGGCUAACUACGUGCCAGCAGCCGCGGUAAUACGUAGGGGGCAAGCGUUAUCCGGAUUUACUGGGUGUAAAGGGAGCGUAGACGGGGAAGGAAGUCUGAUGUGAAAGGUCGGGGCUCAACCCCGGGACUGCAUUGGAAACUGUUGAACUGGAGGACCGGAGAGGUAAGCGGAAUUCCAAGUGUAGCGGUGAAAUGCGUAGAUAUAAGGAGGAACACCAGGGGCGAAGGCGGCUUACUGGACUGUAACUGACGUUGAGGCUCGAAAGCGUGGGGAGCAAACAGGAUUAGAUACCCGAGUAGUC